RNAcentral lists this ribosomal RNA (424 nucleotides) under uncultured bacterium. RNAcentral's name for it is "bacterial SSU rRNA". It matches the Rfam family "Bacterial small subunit ribosomal RNA", at positions 355 to 772 of the family's 1533-position model. The record is from RNAcentral.
UGGGGAAUUGUUCGCAAUGGGCGCAAGCCUGACGACGCAACGCCGCGUGGAGGAUGAAGGUCUUCGGAUUGUAAACUCCUGUUGCCCGGGACGAAAUGCUUCAACCUAAUACGUUGAAGUUUGACGGUACCGGGUGAGGAAGCCCCGGCUAACUCUGUGCCAUCAGCCGCGGUAAUACAGAGGGGGCUAGCGUUGUUCGGAAUUACUGGGCGUAAAGCGCACGUAGGCGGGUCUGUAAGUAGGGGGUGAAAUCCCAGGGCUCAACCCUGGAACUGCCUUCUAGACUGCAGGCCUGGAGGUCAGGUGAGGCGAGUGGAAUACCGAGUGUAGAGGUGAAAUUCGUAGAUAUUCGGUGGAACACCAGUGGCGAAGGCGACUCGCUGGACUGAUACUGACGCUGAGGUGCGAAAGCGUGGGGAGCAAA